GGGGCAAAUUAUUUUUGGAAAGAUCCUCUCAAAAAGAAUCAAGAAAAAUUCAAAAAAAAAAAAAUCAAAAAUCAAGUUCAAAUUCUUGUUUCUGGGAAAAUCAAAUUUAAUUUCUGGUUUUUUGACAAAUCAAAUUCAAUUUCUUGACCAAUUGGAUGGCAGGACUGGGUCUUAUCCCACUGACCAUUCACAAACUUCACAAAAAUCACGUUGGGCCUGGAUUUUGUGCCGCCAACUUCACAAACAUCACGUUGGGCCUGGACUUGGUGCCGCCAACAUCACAAAGUUCACGUUGGGCCUGGAUUUUGUGCCGCCAACUUCACAAACAUCACGUUGGGUUUGGAUUUUGUACCACCAAUUAAGGCAGGCUCGGGUUUAAUCCCACUGACCAAUUCAUCACACUGGGGCAAAUUUUUGGAUAAAUUUUUCGAGUAAAUCUUAUACAGUUUCUUCAUACCUGCCACUAGCCGUUGGGUCAGUCCCACUAGUGCGCAUUUCAUUUUGCACGGCCGCUAGCCGUUGGGUCAGUCCCACUAGUGAGCCUUUCAUUUUUCAUUGCCGCUAAACAUGGGUCAGUCCCACUAGCGUGCAUUUCAUUUACACUGCCACUGAACAUGGGAUAGUCCCACCAGUGUGC
RNAcentral lists this long non-coding RNA (637 nucleotides) under Coffea arabica (coffee). RNAcentral describes it as "long non-coding RNA (CARA_LNC007779)". Lineage: Eukaryota; Viridiplantae; Streptophyta; Magnoliopsida; Gentianales; Rubiaceae. The record is from RNAcentral.